This 159-nucleotide ribosomal RNA is filed under the name Durusdinium sp. RNAcentral's name for it is "partial large subunit ribosomal RNA". Lineage: Eukaryota; Dinophyceae; Suessiales; Symbiodiniaceae. The record is from RNAcentral.
UUUCAGUACAAAUAAUAUGCUGUCUAAGUAAUACAUCUAACUAAAGGACAAAAAGACCCUUUGAAGCUUUAUAGGGAUAAAACUUUGAUUGCAUUUUUUAGCUUAGGCCGCUCAAAGAUCUAUAUCUGAGGUGUGCCUUAAUAAAUUUAUUUAUUGGUU